Molecule: ribosomal RNA, 163 nt
Filed under: Hequnia guangxiensis
Lineage: Eukaryota; Viridiplantae; Streptophyta; Magnoliopsida; Lamiales; Gesneriaceae
Description: Allocheilos guangxiensis 5.8S ribosomal RNA
Rfam family: 5.8S ribosomal RNA
About the family: 5.8S ribosomal RNA (5.8S rRNA) is a component of the large subunit of the eukaryotic ribosome. It is transcribed by RNA polymerase I as part of the 45S precursor that also contains 18S and 28S rRNA.
Source: RNAcentral
GUAACGACUCUCGGCAACGGAUAUCUCGGCUCUCGCAUCGAUGAAGAACGUAGCGAAAUGCGAUACUUGGUGUGAAUUGCAGAAUCCCGUGAACCAUCGAGUCUUUGAACGCAAGUUGCGCCCGAAGCCAUCAGGUUGAGGGCACGUCUGCCUGGGUGUCACG